RNAcentral lists this long non-coding RNA (748 nucleotides) under Pomacea canaliculata. RNAcentral's name for it is "uncharacterized LOC112558638, transcript variant X1". The record is from RNAcentral. Lineage: Eukaryota; Metazoa; Mollusca; Gastropoda; Architaenioglossa; Ampullariidae.
UACGGUGCGUCUCAGUGUAAGGAUGCGCUGUAGCUAACAUCGUGAUGAGUAUUGCAACAAUAUCUAAUUAUAACGGACUUAUUCAACGACUGGCAAGCAUGCGACUUCCACUGUUCAAGAGGAUUUAGAUUCAGUCUGCUUUGAUCUGCAACACACCGUCCUCCCUCUUGUGGCGCGAAACAUUUGCGACUGUCACGUGACUCGACGUCUGCGUCGCAAUACUUCAUCAGAAGCCGUUAGCUGGGAGGCAGGCAGUGAAAAAGAUUCAGACUAAAAUGGACUUGGUGAGACUGCCUGAAGAAUUAAAAAUAGUAAAAGAAGAAAGAAGCCAACGAAAUAUAGAAAGACGCUCCAAAACUCAACAGUUUGUACAGACACCACAAAGUGAUUGUGUCUUGAGAUCAGUUGGUGGUGACUUUCUGGAAAAAAAGAUGGCUUUAAGGUAAUGGAUCAUGGUUUCCUAUUGGUUAAUCUUCUGCCUGAUCCUGUCAUGGUCAAAUCUUCCUGGCAUCUAAGAUGUAGUCUACUUGACACAAAUGCGCUGCAAACUACCGUCUGGUGAAGGCUGGCAGUCAAGCCCCCCAAGUUCGUUUGUCCAAGGGACAUAAUUUCAUGUCGAUGCCCUUCCACACUGUAUUUCAGGGGAGCCUAUUUGAGCGGCAGUUAAUUUUUCCUUCUUCCCCAGAUAGAUUUGCUCGUUAAAAAUUUGAAGACUUCAUUGUAGUUGAGUUCUAAGAUCUGCAUGUGG